Molecule: ribosomal RNA, 223 nt
Filed under: Fleischmannia incarnata
Lineage: Eukaryota; Viridiplantae; Streptophyta; Magnoliopsida; Asterales; Asteraceae
Description: partial internal transcribed spacer 2
Source: RNAcentral
AUCACGUCGCUCUCNUCAAACAUCCUUGUUNGGAUUGUGUUGUUUGNGGGCGGAUAUUGNUUUCCUGNGCCCGNGGNGCGGUUGNCCCAAANACGAGUCCGGUUAAGAAAGACACACACUGGUGGUGGUUGAUNACGCAGUCGUCUCGUGGCGUGUGUUUUUAUUCUUGAACGGAACUNUCUUAAAGUACCCUGACGUGCUGUCUUGUGAUAGCCCUUUGAUC